Molecule: ribosomal RNA, 514 nt
Filed under: uncultured Clostridium sp.
Lineage: Bacteria; Bacillati; Bacillota; Clostridia; Eubacteriales; Clostridiaceae
Description: bacterial SSU rRNA
Rfam family: Bacterial small subunit ribosomal RNA
Source: RNAcentral
UGGGGAAUAUUGCGCAAUGGGGGAAACCCUGACGCAGCGACGCCGCGUGGAGGAAGAAGGCCUUUGGGUUGUAAACUCCUUUGAUCGGGGACGAAGAUGACGGUACCCGAACAAGAAGCCACGGCUAACUACGUGCCAGGAGCCGCGGUAAUACGUAGGUGGCGAGCGUUGUCCGGAAUUACUGGGUGUAAAGGGCGUGUAGGCGGGGUGCCAAGUCAGGUGUGAAAUACCGGGGCUUAACCUCGGGGGUGCAUCUGAAACUGGUGCUCUUGAGUGCCGGAGUGGAAAGCGGAAUUCCCAGUGUAGCGGUGAAAUGCGUAGAUAUUGGGAGGAACACCAGUGGCGAAGGCGGCUUUCUGGACGGUAACUGACGCUGAGGCGCGAAAGCGUGGGGAGCAAACAGGAUUGGAUACCCUGGUAGUCCACGCUGUAAACGAUGGAUACUAGGUGUAGGAGGUAUCGACCCCUUCUGUGCCGUAGUUAACACAAUAAGUAUCCCACCUGGGGAGUACGG